UUAUGGCUAACUAAGCUGGACAAGUCCCCUUUCCAAUAAAGAUCUGGAAUUCAAUGGUUGCAAACAGCAUCCUCCUUGGUAGUGUGUGCAGCCUGAGUUCUAUAUGGGUUGCCCUAAGUGACCUUGGAGACAAUA
This is a small nucleolar RNA of Phodopus roborovskii (desert hamster), 135 nucleotides long. RefSeq annotates it as small nucleolar RNA SNORA70. The transcript has a single exon. The record is from RefSeq and is a predicted model, not a curated record. NCBI's taxonomy places the organism in Eukaryota, Metazoa, Chordata, Mammalia, Rodentia, Cricetidae.